RNAcentral lists this ribosomal RNA (497 nucleotides) under uncultured bacterium. Its description in RNAcentral is "partial 16S ribosomal RNA". It matches the Rfam family "Bacterial small subunit ribosomal RNA", at positions 28 to 507 of the family's 1533-position model. The record is from RNAcentral.
GACGAACGCUGGCGGCGUGCCUAAUACAUGCAAGUUGAGCGCUGAAGGUUGGUACUUGUACCAACUGGAUGAGCAGCGAACGGGUGAGUAACGCGUGGGGAAUCUGCCUUUGAGCGGGGGACAACAUUUGGAAACGAAUGCUAAUACCGCAUAAUAACUUUAAACACAAGUUUUAAGUUUGAAAGAUGCAAUUGCAUCACUCAAAGAUGAUCCCGCGUUGGAUUAGCUAGUUGGUGAGGGAAAGGCUCACCAAGGCGAUGAUACAUAGCCGACCUGAGAGGGUGAUCGGCCACAUUGGGACUGAGACACGGCCCAAACUCCUACGGGGGGCAGCAGUAGGGAAUCUUCGGCAAUGGACGGAAGUCUGACCGAGCAACGCCGCGUGAGGGAAGAAGGUUUUCGGAUCGUAAAACUCUGUUGGUAGAGAAGAACGUUGGUGAGAGUGGAAAGCUCAUCAAGUGACGGUAACUACCCAGAAAGGGACGGCUAACUACGUG